RNAcentral lists this small RNA (641 nucleotides) under Pongo abelii (Sumatran orangutan). RNAcentral's name for it is "processed transcript". The record is from RNAcentral. Lineage: Eukaryota; Metazoa; Chordata; Mammalia; Primates; Hominidae.
CCCAGAAACACCCUCCUUUCAAAGGGAGCCCUGAGUCCUGAGCCUUUGCCUCCAAAAGGUCUGCAGUAUCUGGUGCUCUUGUCUCAUGCCCACAGCCGAGAGUGCAGCCUGGUGCCCGGGCUUCGGGGGCCUGGCGGCCAAGAUGGGGGGCUUGUGUGGGAGUGCUCAGCAGGCCAUACCUUCUCCUGGGGACCCUCUUUGAGCCCUACACCUUCAGAGGCACCCAAGCCAGCCUCCCUUCCACAUACUUCUCGGAGAAGUUGGUGUUCCGAGGCCACAAGUGGGCAGGAGCUUGCAGAUUUGGAAUCUGAGCAUGAUGAGCGGACUCAAGAGGCCAGGUUGCCCAGGAGGGUGGGACCCCCACCAGAGACCUUUCCACCUCCAGGAGAGGAAGAGGGUGAGGAAGAGGACGAUGAUGAGGAUGAAGAGGAGAUGCUCAGUGAUGCCAGCUUAUGGACCUACAGCUCCUCCCCAGAUGAUGAGCCUGAUGCCCCCAGACUACGCCCUUCCCCUGUCACCUGCACACCUAAAGAGGGGGAGACACCACCAUCCCCUGCAGCACUCUCCACUCCUCUUGCUCUGCCGUCCUUGUCAGCAUCCUCAUUGAGUUCCAGAGCUCCUCCACCUGCAGAAGUCAGGGU